Long non-coding RNA from Gossypium arboreum, 379 nucleotides. RefSeq lists it as uncharacterized. The transcript is spliced from 2 exons. NCBI's taxonomy places the organism in Eukaryota, Viridiplantae, Streptophyta, Magnoliopsida, Malvales, Malvaceae. The record is from RefSeq and is a predicted model, not a curated record.
CCUGCAACAAAUGGAAAUCACAACAGCAAAUGACAGAUAAUAUAACAGAAUAAUAGCAAACAAAUUAAGGGGGAAAAAGGGGAAAUUUGUAAAUCUUGAUUUUGGCUAUAUAAAGCCAAUUGUAUACUGUAAAUGGGGGAUUAUUAUUUUUUUCAACAGAAAUACAGACGCAUAUUGAAAGAGAAAUAAAAAUCGAAAAGGGACGGGAUUUUGAAAUCGAAGCAAAUAGUCUUCAAGGUUUAACCCUCCAUGGCUCUUCUGUGCAUCUUGAGUCACUGAUCAAAACGAAGCAAGAACAUGCAGAUAAGGGGGCUAUGGGAAUCAGCCAAAGGGAGAGGAGUGAAUUAGAGUGCUUCUGUCUUUUCUCUUUUGUUAGUAU